AUUGAACGCUGGCGGCAUGCUUUACACAUGCAAGUCGAACGGCAGCGCGGGCUUCGGCCUGGCGGCGAGUGGCGAACGGGUGAGUAAUACAUCGGAACGUGCCCAGUAGUGGGGGAUAGCUCGGCGAAAGCCGGAUUAAUACCGCAUACGACCUGAGGGUGAAAGCGGGGGAUCUUCGGACCUCGCGCUAUUGGAGCGGCCGAUGGCAGAUUAGCUAGUUGGUGGGGUAAAGGCCUACCAAGGCGACGAUCUGUAGCUGGUCUGAGAGGACGAUCAGCCACACUGGGACUGAGACACGGCCCAGACUCCUGCGGGAGGCAGCAGUGGGGAAUUUUGGACAAUGGGCGAAAGCCUGAUCCAGCAAUGCCGCGUGUGUGAUGAAGGCCUUCGGGUUGUAAAGCACUUUUGGCGGGAACGAAAAGGACUGUGCCAAUACCACGGUUCGAUGACGGUACCCGCAGAAUAAGCACCGGCUAACUACGUG
This 484-nucleotide ribosomal RNA is filed under the name uncultured bacterium. RNAcentral's name for it is "partial 16S ribosomal RNA". It matches the Rfam family "Bacterial small subunit ribosomal RNA", at positions 29 to 507 of the family's 1533-position model. The record is from RNAcentral.